CCUACGGGAGGCAGCAGUGGGGAAUUUUGGACAAUGGGCGAAAGCCUGAUCCAGCAAUGCCGCGUGAGUGAAGAAGGCCUUCGGGUUGUAAAGCUCUUUUGUCAGGGAAGAAACGGUGGGAGCUAAUAUCUCUUGCUAAUGACGGUACCUGAAGAAUAAGCACCGGCUAACUACGUGCCAGCAGCCGCGGUAAUACGUAGGGUGCAAGCGUUAAUCGGAAUUACUGGGCGUAAAGCGUGCGCAGGCGGUUUUGUAAGUCUGAUGUGAAAUCCCCGGGCUCAACCUGGGAAUUGCAUUGGAGACUGCAAGGCUAGAAUCUGGCAGAGGGGGGUAGAAUUCCACGUGUAGCAGUGAAAUGCGUAGAUAUGUGGAGGAACACCGAUGGCGAAGGCAGCCCCCUGGGUCAAGAUUGACGCUCAUGCACGAAAGCGUGGGGAGCAAACAGGAUUAGAUACCCUGGUAGUCCACGCCCUAAACGAUGUCUACUAGUUGUCGGGUCUUAAUUGACUUGGUAACGCAGCUAACGCGUGAAGUAGACCGCCUGGGGAGUACGGUGCAAGAUUAAAACUCAAAGGAAUUGACGGCUGAGACGNGCGAGACGACGACGAGGGAGGAGG
Molecule: ribosomal RNA, 617 nt
Filed under: uncultured bacterium
Lineage: Bacteria
Description: bacterial SSU rRNA
Rfam family: Bacterial small subunit ribosomal RNA
Source: RNAcentral